GAAAUGCGAUAAGUAAUGUGAAUUGCAGAAUUCAGUGAAUCAUCGAAUCUUUGAACGCACAUUGCGCCCGACAGUAUUCUGGCGGGCAUGCCUGUCCGAGCGUCAUUUCAACCAUCAAGCCCCCGGGCUUGUGUUGGGGACCUGCGGCUGCCCGCAGGCCCUGAAAACCAGUGGCGGGCUCGCUGUCACACCGAGCGUAGUAGCAAUCACCUCGCUCAGGGCGUGCUGCGGGUUCCGGCCGUUAAACAGCCUUACAAAACCCAAGGUUGACCUCGGAUCAGGUAGGAAGACCCGCUGAACUUAAGC
Molecule: unclassified non-coding RNA, 306 nt
Filed under: plant metagenome
Description: partial contains 5.8S ribosomal RNA, internal transcribed spacer 2, and large subunit ribosomal RNA
Rfam family: 5.8S ribosomal RNA (bases 1-105)
Source: RNAcentral